RNAcentral lists this ribosomal RNA (484 nucleotides) under uncultured bacterium. RNAcentral describes it as "partial 16S ribosomal RNA". It matches the Rfam family "Bacterial small subunit ribosomal RNA", at positions 30 to 507 of the family's 1533-position model. The record is from RNAcentral.
AUUGAACGCUGGCGGCAGGCCUAACACAUGCAAGUCGAGCGGAUGAAGGGAGCUUGCUCCUGGAUUCAGCGGCGGACGGGUGAGUAAUGCCUAGGAAUCUGCCUGGUAGUGGGGGAUAACGUCCGGAAACGGGCGCUAAUACCGCAUACGUCCUGAGGGAGACAGUGGGGGAUCUUCGGACCUCACGCUAUCAGAUGAGCCUAGGUCGGAUUAGCUAGUUGGUGGGGUAAAGGCCUACCAAGGCGACGAUCCGUAACUGGUCUGAGAGGAUGAUCAGUCACACUGGAACUGAGACACGGUCCAGACUCCUACGGGAGGCAACAGUGGGGAAUAUUGGACAAUGGGCGAAAGCCUGAUCCAGCCAUGCCGCGUGUGUGAAGAAGGUCUUCUGAUUGUAAAGCACUUUAAGUUGGGAGGAAGGGCAGUAAGUUAAUACCUUGCUGUUUUGACGUUACCAACAGAAUAAGCACCGGCUAACUUCGUG